CCGACGCCAGCUCGGCGGUGAAAAGCCCGGCGUAAACAGCAAAAAAAACAGCCCCGAAAGUGGCGCUUAGCGGUUAAAAAGAGCGUGGAGGGAGAGCAGGGUUUGGAGGGAGAGCAGAUAAACCUUUUUCACUGAAGUACUGGACCUCACGUAACCCAGGCAGGACAGAUGUUACCAAUAUGGGAUCAUUUCACUCCAGCGCUCAUACGCUAAAACUUCAUUACUUAUUGAUGGAAACCUAGCAGAAUUAAAAACAAAACAAAACACUGCGACUUGCCAUCAUGCUUUCUGAGAAAGGACACCACACCAUGCGAGUUGAGGGCUCAGAUGGCCACAGGCAUCCUACUCAGACAUCUUUGCUGCAGAGUAACUUCAGAUGUUCCUGGACUUUGAAAGAAUAAUCGUCACCAAACAGCUCAUCAAGCCAUAAAUCAACUUCUUAGAAGUCCUCUGGUGCUGGAGCAUGACAAAGACACUGCAAAGCUGCCCUACCUGGGCAAAUGGAUGUUUUGCAACAUGAUGAAAUCCAUUAGUGGCAUGAAACAAAUGUUGCACUGGUUUGAAUCACAGUAAACAUUGCUGGGAACAGGGGAGAAUAUAGAAUUUAAUAUAUAUAGAAUAUAAAAUAGCAUUCAAAACCUCUUACCAUACACCCAGCAUAGGUUGCUUGGACCUGAGAUGGAUCUGAAGAAGUAAAUGUGCAGAUAUUAACAAGCAAGUAAAUGGACAUAUUUCUUGUAUGGACACCUAUCCUGCAGCUAUAAUAGUAACAAAAGGGCAUUGUUAUCACAGUCUUAGAGAGAGGAUUCUACAGGGUGUGUCUGUACAUCUAUGGAUAUAUAUAUUUGUAAAUACACAUGCAUAUACACCAACUGUACAGAGUCUUCUUUAAAUAACUGAUCUUUUCAGUAGCAUGAAUGCAGAUGAAGCAGUUUGAGUAAAAGCCUAAAGCCUUUUAUUUUCCCCUUUAAAGGGACUUUCCUCAAGGGUGUAAUUGUCUCAUUGGGCAACUAACAGGAAAACAACUGGUACCCUGGAGAUGCUGAGAACUUAGAAUCCACAUUGAGAUUUCAGCCUAGCUACUAAACUUUCCAUGAUGUCAGCUGCAUCAGACCUGUGGUGAAGUUUGUCUGCAGGAAAUACCUUCAAGUACAUAAAAUAAUCUGCUUAUCUAGCUACUAUCUGUCAGGUUCCUGUAGAAGAUUCUUCGAUUCUUGACAUAGCAGAUCAGAAAGUGGGCACAGGUGUCACAGUGAAGUAGCUACCGAAUGUUGAGUUACUGAGCAGGGUGAUGCUCUUUCAGAGAGUUAUACUUAUUUCAUUGCUGCAGUUGCAGUAAAGCUUCAGUGCUGCUGCAGAUUCCAGAAAACAUAAACUGCAUUCAUAAGGCAAAAAUAUUUGGAGUAGGGGACUCAUAUCACUCUCUUUGGAGAAUCUAUGUUUAGCCAAACAAAGCCUAUUUGCGGUAAAGGAAAAGGAUGAGGCAUGCUUAGAAAAUUCAGUAGUCAUUCAUUUAAUUGCAAGAGAUAAUAAAAUGAACAGAUUCAAUAAUGGUUACUUCCUGUAUUGCAAAAGUAAGCAUUUAUUUCAGAAAGUAUACUGGAACUAAGCAAAGUAGUCUGAAGAAUGGGUAGACUUCCACCAUCCACGUCAAGCAAAAUUGGCAACUGAAUUCAGCCCAACCGCUCUGUUAAUGCGCUGGAAGAGAACUCAGUGAAGAAAAAAAGUACACCAAUCGUACUGUUUCAGAAGAAAAAAAUCUGUGAGUGUUAUAGAAGAUGUAUAGAGGAUAUUUAUAGACUGUAUGACAAUUUCUCCUAAAAAUGCUAAAAAGAAUUGAGAUGUUAGCAUGCAGGACUCUUAUCUACCUUGCUGUUCAGCUGAUGAUAAGAAGAGAGACUUGAAACAAAUCUACUUUCUCAGCUCUCUGAAAAUUCACAUCUUUUGAACAUGAGAGCGAGUCCUCUAAUUUAUUAAAAAAUAAAAAGAACUUUCUUGUGACCUCUGAGACUCAGGUACAGCAAACAUCCCAAAUCUCAAACCAGUUGUCAAAGAUCCUAAUUCUGCAAGACCCUUUCUUGUGAGCACCUGUUCAAAAAAGAUGCACUUAUAAAAUUCAUGUUUCCAAGCAACAAAACAAAACAAAGUAAAACAUCUCUGUCAGGGGAACUGACAGAGGCAGUGGCCUCAUUAGUGAAGUCUGAUUUUCUGAGGCCAAGCAAUACUAUUCCAAGAGUUCAGGGGGGAUUUUAAGUUACUUGAACACAUGACACGGAGGAGUUUUACCCUUGUCUUAACAGAGCCAUAAUGUCACUGUGCAUGCUUGAAUGCUGAAGCUGGUUAUAAAAAAACAAACCAAAAGCAGACAACCUCUUGGCACGUAGUGCCACAGCAAAUGGUGCCAUGGAGAGAAAGGUGAGCACGCUCUCCAGCCUUACUACCCGUGAGGUAGGCAACUUCACAACUGCAACUUCUACAACUACAGGACAGUCGUGUUGGUAAUUCCCCCACACAGCAGAGAAGCAAUGGUUUAUGGCAGCGGGCUUGAAAUUCUAGAGUCGGAGACUGAUCUUUUCAGUUUUAUUCUUGGCUUAGCUAUGGAGUCUGAUUUUGAACGAAUUAUUUAGUUCCUUUGUUUUAUGUGCGCCGGUGAGGAAUGGACAUAAUAACGUGCAAUGGUAUUGCAAACUUAAAACAGUAACACCUUCAACAUAUUUCGAGAUUUUAGAGGUUGGAAGAGAUGAAGAAAUUGUAGCUAUUGUUGCUGCUGUUACUGAAUUCUGUUUGUCAGCUCUAGAAAUAGAAUUUGAAAUCCAUUGGCAGGGAUAUGGGACAAGUUACAACCUUUUUUUUGGUGGGAUUCACGUGUGGAAAUACGUGCUUGAGCCAGCAGGAAGUCUCUCUUUGGGAAGGAUUAACAUGUGAGUAAAUAAACAGCAGGCAAAACUAGUUUCCUAUACAAAGACAAUUACACAUCAUGGAAUAAAUUAAGCCCUUCUACAUGUAUAUUUUUGCUUAAACGAAACUAUUGAAAACAAUUUUGAUGGAAAAUAUUUUGAAAACCUUAGAACACAGAUUUGGACUAAUGUUUUAAAGGGUUAAGGCAAGCUUUCAAAAACUAGAUAAUCAAAGUAACAUAAACCACAGGCUUUCCCCGCUGAUAACAGGUCUCCAUGAACAUGCACAAAACUAGGAAGAGAACUCUCAAACAGGCAAUGUGAUUAGUUAUUUCUCCAUAAGCCUGUAGCUUUCAAUUAGCUGAACAAACUAGUUUUGGAUAAAGUCUAUUCUUAGGCGAUUAUUAUGUGCUGAAUUUUGAUGCUUGAUUGAAGACAUUUUUUACUUGCAAACUGUAACAGCUGGAAACCAGGUUUUAUAUUAUACUGUGAACAACAUGCUAACCAUGUUUUUACGUAAGAAAGCUCAGCAACAGAGCUAUAAUAUUUCCUCUGUGUGUUUAGGCUGAGUUAUGCUGUUAUAUUACUGAUGUGUAUUAUGCUAAUGCAAUAAAACAUAAAGACUAUUGUAUCUUUUGUAUCUUCUACCACACUGGUACCAGUAGGGAUUUGCAUUGGUAAUAUAACAGCAGCAGAACAAUCUAGAGAAUUGUUGAAGUUUCCUAUUUUGAGGUUAUGGGUACAAGCCUACAAGUCAGUAAAAUUCCCCACUAACUUCAGUGACUUCUGGAAGGUUUAGAACUAGAAAAAAAAUACAGCACCAUGAAAGACAGACACAGCAAUAUGCUAUUCAUCACUUAAUUAAAAACACAGCAUAUAUGGUGACAAUUUCAAAUAAGUGAACUUACUGCAGUAUUUUGAACAGCUUAGAUUACUGGAUAGCAUUUUUAAGAAUAGUUUUCUUUCCUUUAAAUUUAGUAUUUUAAAAUAAGUGAUCAAGUAGUACUGGAAAUAAACUAGUGCAGACCACACAGACAGAGCAGAAUACUGCCCUUGGAUCAUUUUUCCAUGUUCAUACCUUCUACUUAAUUUUUUGGACAUAUGGAUUACAGACUACCAUGAUAAUAUGCCUGAACAUAAUUUAAAGAGUAUGUCAGAGGAGAAAAAAAAUAGAAGACACCCCAAAAACCAAUUCCUAUCCAUAACAUUUUAACAGUAUUAGAAACUUAAGAAGUAAAUGUACUUCUCACGAUUUAAAAUGUGAGUUUGCUUUUUUUGCAUCUCAUUUGGUUUUAUCAUCAGAUUAUUCAAUUGCAGUUUUUGCAUCUCCCAUAGUUCUUUACUGGGUGUGUGUGUGUGUAUGUGUUAAAUCCUCAUAAGAAAUGUAAUACAAAUAACCAGGAAUUACAUUUUCAGUAUUUUUAAUAAAAUCUUUUUCCACUGUC
Cygnus atratus (black swan) is the source of this 4342-nucleotide long non-coding RNA. RefSeq lists it as uncharacterized. The transcript is spliced from 6 exons. The record is from RefSeq and is a predicted model, not a curated record. NCBI's taxonomy places the organism in Eukaryota, Metazoa, Chordata, Aves, Anseriformes, Anatidae.